Molecule: small nuclear RNA, 196 nt
Organism: Lycium ferocissimum
Lineage: Eukaryota; Viridiplantae; Streptophyta; Magnoliopsida; Solanales; Solanaceae
Product: U2 spliceosomal RNA
Exons: 1
Source: RefSeq, a predicted model, not a curated record
AUACCUUUCUCGGCCUUUUGGCUAAGAUCAAGUGUAGUAUCUGUUCUUAUCAGUUUAAUAUACGAUAGUCGAAAUUUCGACUCACAUGAUAUUAACUUAAUUUUUUAAGGGAGAAGGUCCACUACGGUAGCUUGCUAUCGGGGCCUUUACGUGUCGCCUUGGUGUUGCACUACUGCCUUGGCUUGGCGCACCCCAC